RNAcentral lists this ribosomal RNA (2316 nucleotides) under Staphylococcus pseudintermedius. Its description in RNAcentral is "partial 23S ribosomal RNA". It matches the Rfam family "Bacterial large subunit ribosomal RNA", at positions 607 to 2925 of the family's 2925-position model. The record is from RNAcentral. Lineage: Bacteria; Bacillati; Bacillota; Bacilli; Caryophanales; Staphylococcaceae.
UUUGUAGAAUGAACCGGCGAGUUACGAUCUGAUGCAAGGUUAAGCAGAAAAUGUGGAGCCGUAGCGAAAGCGAGUCUGAAUAGGGCGAAUGAGUAUUUGGUCGUAGACCCGAAACCAGGUGAUCUACCCUUGGUCAGGUUGAAGUUCAGGUAACACUGAAUGGAGGACCGAACCGACUUACGUUGAAAAGUGAGCGGAUGAACUGAGGGUAGCGGAGAAAUUCCAAUCGAACUUGGAGAUAGCUGGUUCUCUCCGAAAUAGCUUUAGGGCUAGCCUCAAGUGAUGAUUAUUGGAGGUAGAGCACUGUUUGGACGAGGGGCCCCUCUCGGGUUACCGAAUUCAGACAAACUCCGAAUGCCAAAUAAUUUAACUUGGGAGUCAGAAUGUGGGUGAUAAGGUCCAUAUUCGAAAGGGAAACAGCCCAGACCACCAGCUAAGGUCCCAAAAUAUAUGUUAAGUGGAAAAGGAUGUGGCGUUGCCCAGACAACUAGGAUGUUGGCUUAGAAGCAGCCAUCAUUUAAAGAGUGCGUAAUAGCUCACUAGUCGAGUGACACUGCGCCGAAAAUGUACCGGGGCUAAACAUAUUACCGAAGCUGUGGAUUGUCCUUUGGACAAUGGUAGGAGAGCGUUCUAAGGGCGUUGAAGCAUGAUCGCAAGGACAUGUGGAGCGCUUAGAAGUGAGAAUGCCGGUGUGAGUAGCGAAAGACGGGUGAGAAUCCCGUCCACCGAUUGACUAAGGUUUCCAGAGGAAGGCUCGUCCGCUCUGGGUUAGUCGGGUCCUAAGCUGAGGCCGACAGGCGUAGGCGAUGGAUAACAGGUUGAUAUUCCUGUACCACCAUUAUUCGUUUUAAGCGAUGGGGGGACGCAGUAGGAUAGGCGAAGCGUGCUGUUGGAGUGCACGUCCAAGCAGUGAGAUUGAGUGUUAGGCAAAUCCGGCACUCUUAAGAUUGAGCUGUGAUGGGGAGAGGAACUUGUUCCUCGAGUCGUUGAUUUCACACUGCCGAGAAAAGCCUCUAGCUAGAAUAACGGUGCCCGUACCGCAAACCGACACAGGUAGUCAAGAUGAGAAUUCUAAGGUGAGCGAGCGAACUCUCGUUAAGGAACUCGGCAAAAUGACCCCGUAACUUCGGGAGAAGGGGUGCUCUUUGAGGUUCACGCUUCGAAGAGCCGCAGUGAAUAGGCCCAAGCGACUGUUUAUCAAAAACACAGGUCUCUGCUAAACCGUAAGGUGACGUAUAGGGGCUGACGCCUGCCCGGUGCUGGAAGGUUAAGAGGAGUGGUUAGCGCAAGCGAAGCUACGAAUCGAAGCCCCAGUAAACGGCGGCCGUAACUAUAACGGUCCUAAGGUAGCGAAAUUCCUUGUCGGGUAAGUUCCGACCCGCACGAAAGGCGUAACGAUUUGGGCACUGUCUCAACGAGAGACUCGGUGAAAUCAUAGUACCGGUGAAGAUGCCGGUUACCCGCGACAGGACGGAAAGACCCCGUGGAGCUUUACUGUAGCCUGAUAUUGAAAUUCGGUACAGUUUGUACAGGAUAGGUAGGAGCCUUAGAAGCGUGAGCGCUAGCUUACGUGGAGGCAUUGGUGGGAUACUACCCUAAUUGUAUUGGAUUUCUAACCCGCAGCACUUAUCGUGCUGGGAGACAGUGUCAGGCGGGCAGUUUGACUGGGGCGGUCGCCUCCUAAAGAGUAACGGAGGCGCUCAAAGGUUCCCUCAGAAUGGUUGGAAAUCAUUCAUAGAGUGUAAAGGCAUAAGGGAGCUUGACUGCGAGACCUACAAGUCGAGCAGGGUCGAAAGACGGACUUAGUGAUCCGGUGGUUCCGCAUGGAAGGGCCAUCGCUCAACGGAUAAAAGCUACCCCGGGGAUAACAGGCUUAUCUCCCCCAAGAGUUCACAUCGACGGGGAGGUUUGGCACCUCGAUGUCGGCUCAUCGCAUCCUGGGGCUGUAGUCGGUCCCAAGGGUUGGGCUGUUCGCCCAUUAAAGCGGUACGCGAGCUGGGUUCAGAACGUCGUGAGACAGUUCGGUCCCUAUCCGUCGUGGGCGUAGGAAAUUUGAGAGGAGCUGUCCUUAGUACGAGAGGACCGGGAUGGACAUACCUCUGGUGUACCAGUUGUCGUGCCAACGGCAUAGCUGGGUAGCUAUGUAUGGACGGGAUAAGUGCUGAAAGCAUCUAAGCAUGAAGCCCCCCUCGAGAUGAGAUUUCCCAACUUCGGUUAUAAGAUCCCUCAAAGAUGAUGAGGUGAAUAGGUUCGAGGUGGAAGCGUAGCGAUACGUGGAGCUGACGAAUACUAAUCGAUCGAAGACUUAAUCAAUAU